UGGGGAAUUUUGGACAAUGGGCGAAAGCCUGAUCCAGCAAUGCCGCGUGUGUGAAGAAGGCCUUCGGGUUGUAAAGCACUUUUGUCCGGAAAGAAAUCCUCUGGGUUAAUACCUCGGGGGGAUGACGGUACCGGAAGAAUAAGCACCGGCUAACUACGUGCCAGCAGCCGCGGUAAUACGUAGGGUGCAAGCGUUAAUCGGAAUUACUGGGCGUAAAGCGUGCGCAGGCGGUUUUGUAAGACGGAUGUGAAAUCCCCGGGCUUAACCUGGGAACUGCAUUCGUGACUGCAAGGCUAGAGUAUGGCAGAGGGGGGUAGAAUUCCACGUGUAGCAGUGAAAUGCGUAGAGAUGUGGAGGAAUACCGAUGGCGAAGGCAGCCCCCUGGGCCAAUACUGACGCUCAUGCACGAAAGCGUGGGGAGCAAACAGGAUUAGAUACCCUGGUAGUCCACGCCCUAAACGAUGUCAACUAGUUGUUGGGGAUUCAUUUCCUUAGUAACGUAGCUAACGCGUGAAGUUGACCGCCUGGGGGAGUACGGUCGCAAGAUUAAAACUCAAAGGAAUUGACGGGGUCAUAGCUGUUUCC
This 585-nucleotide ribosomal RNA is filed under the name uncultured bacterium. Its description in RNAcentral is "partial 16S ribosomal RNA". It matches the Rfam family "Bacterial small subunit ribosomal RNA", at positions 355 to 937 of the family's 1533-position model. The record is from RNAcentral.